AUACUUACCUGGCAGGGGAGAUACCGUGAUCAAGAAGGUGGUUCACCCAGGGCGAGGCUCAACCAUUGCACUCCAGUUGUGCUGACCACCGCGAAUUCCCCAAAUGUGGGAAUCUCGACUGCAUCAUUUCUGGUAGUGGGGGACUGCGUUCGCGCUCUCCCCUG
This 164-nucleotide small nuclear RNA is filed under the name Echeneis naucrates (live sharksucker). RNAcentral's name for it is "U1 spliceosomal RNA (ENSENLG00000006212.1)". It matches the Rfam family "U1 spliceosomal RNA". Rfam says of the family: U1 is a small nuclear RNA (snRNA) component of the spliceosome (involved in pre-mRNA splicing). The record is from Rfam by way of RNAcentral. Lineage: Eukaryota; Metazoa; Chordata; Actinopteri; Carangiformes; Echeneidae.